This 474-nucleotide ribosomal RNA is filed under the name uncultured bacterium. RNAcentral describes it as "bacterial SSU rRNA". It matches the Rfam family "Bacterial small subunit ribosomal RNA", at positions 30 to 497 of the family's 1533-position model. The record is from RNAcentral.
AUUGAACGCUGGCGGCAUGCCUUACACAUGCAAGUCGAACGGCAGCACGGGAGCAAUCCUGGUGGCGAGUGGCGAACGGGUGAGUAAUAUAUCGGAACGUGCCCAGUCGUGGGGGAUAACGUAGCGAAAGCUACGCUAAUACCGCAUACGAUCUAUGGAUGAAAGCGGGGGAUCGCAAGACCUCGCGCGAUUGGAGCGGCCGAUAUCAGAUUAGGUAGUUGGUGGGGUAAAAGCCUACCAAGCCUUCGAUCUGUAGCUGGUCUGAGAGGACGACCAGCCACACUGGAACUGAGACACGGUCCAGACUCCUACGGGAGGCAGCAGUGGGGAAUUUUGGACAAUGGGCGCAAGCCUGAUCCAGCAAUGCCGCGUGCAGGAUGAAGGCCUUCGGGUUGUAACUGCUUUGUACGGAACGAAACGGUUACUUUCUAAUACAGAGAGCUAAUGACGGUACCGUAAGAAUAAGACACCGGC